UACGGAGGGGGCUAGCGUUAUUCGGAAUUACUGGGCGUAAAGCGCACGUAGGCGGCUAUUCAAGUCAGAGGUGAAAGCCCGGAGCUCAACUCCGGAAUUGCCUUUGAAACUAGAUAGCUUGAAUCAUGGAGAGGUCAGUGGAAUUCCGAGUGUAGAGGUGAAAUUCGUAGAUAUUCGGAAGAACACCAGUGGCGAAGGCGACUGACUGGACAUGUAUUGACGCUGAGGUGCGAAAGCGUGGGGAGCAAACAGG
This 253-nucleotide ribosomal RNA is filed under the name uncultured bacterium. RNAcentral describes it as "partial 16S ribosomal RNA". It matches the Rfam family "Bacterial small subunit ribosomal RNA", at positions 524 to 776 of the family's 1533-position model. The record is from RNAcentral.